UGACGGUAUUCAACCAGAAAGUCACGGCUAACUACGUGCCAGCAGCCGCGGUAAUACGUAGGUGGCAAGCGUUAUCCGGAUUUAUUGGGCGUAAAGAGAGUGCAGGCGGUUUCUUAAGUCUGACGUGAAAGCCUUCGGCUCAACCGAAGAAGUGCAUCGGAAACUGGGAAACUUGAGUACAGAAGAGGGCAGUGGAACUCCAUGUGUAGCGGUGGAAUGCGUAGAUAUAUGGAAGAACACCAGUGGCGAAGGCGGCUGCCUGGUCUGUAACUGACGCUGAGACUCGAAAGCAUGGGUAGCGAACAGGAUUAGAUACCCUG
RNAcentral lists this ribosomal RNA (320 nucleotides) under uncultured bacterium. RNAcentral describes it as "bacterial SSU rRNA". It matches the Rfam family "Bacterial small subunit ribosomal RNA", at positions 470 to 789 of the family's 1533-position model. The record is from RNAcentral.